CAGUGUGGUAAACUGUUCAUUAGGGUGCUUCAAAGAAGUUUUUUCAACUCUUACCCCCUUAAAUGUUAGUGAUCGACAAAAAAAGAUUCUCCGUCAAGCCAGGCGCUGUAGCUUAACUCUAAGGGGUCGCUUUUUUUAGUUUCCUAUUCAUUUAACAAAGGAAUUUUCGUUUUUUUAUUCAAACUAAAAUUUCACCAAUUAAUUUUCGUUUCUCAUAAAUUUUUCUUUUUUUUAUUAUUAUUUUACAUUGUACCUAGUAUAUAAAAAUAAAAUACUAACAACAAUUCUGGUCUAAAUAAUUAGGAGAGAUACUUAAAAGCUAAAUGUUAAGAAAUACAAUUGCUGCUAUUGUUGCCUUGGUAAGUCGGAAUGCUUCUUGCGUUUCAACCGGAUUUCUCGCCCAGCAGUUUCGAUAAGUCUGUAGGGUUCCUCAUUAACGUGCUGUCUAAGCCUCAGUUCGUCAGACUUUGUUAAUUUCGACAUUUCAUUUACCACUAAAUUCACGCCUAGAUCAAGGAGCAUUAACUAAAGUCCUUAGUACCUUACUUUAAAAGCGCUGAAUGCUGACAAUACAGCCUUGACUUGAGCAACACCAUAGUUGGGCUCCGUAGGCCCAAACUGGCUUUAGGACUUGAUUGUAUAAUAACAGUUGGUUUUGUAUUGAUAGCUUGGAUUUCCUGCCAAGUAGGUGGUAAAGUUUGCCAAAUAUCAUAUCAAGCUCGCUCCUUUUUUUUUGACAUGCUCUUUCUAGCGUAGCUUAGCAUCUAAGGUGAUACCUAGGUACUUAGCAUUGUUAUGGUGUGGUAUAAGAAUGUUAUUUAUAUAAAUUGGACAAUAUGCCGGCUUUUUCAAGGUAAAGUCGACAUGAAUUGAUUUGGUGUCGUUUAAUUUAAUGCGCCACUUAGAUGCCCACUUAGUAAUUGCGUUGACUGCUGUCUGCACUCGUCGACUAGAUACUGAAGUUGACUCUCCAGCUGCUAACAAAGCUGUGUCAUCCGCAAAUGUCGCUGUUAUAUAACUAGAAUCAGAUGGGGUCACUAGUAAAAAGCAAAUAAAGCAUUGGCUCCAACAUGCUUCCCUGGGCAACACCGGCCUCUAUCGGUUCUUCUAUCUUUUAAGUACAAAGCAAUUAUUUCACAAAAUUGUUUGAGUAGCAUGUAUUUCAAUUUGAGCAGUAGACCCGUAUGCCAAACUUUGUGAAAAGCCUGAGACUCGUCCAAAAAGGCCGCCGUACAAACGUAAUUUUCAACGAAAUUAACGAAUCGGUGUAGGUACCUGGUCAAUUGUUAGGUGGUGGUCACGGAAGCCAAAUUGAUGUGUUGGUAUUAGGUUUUUAUGAGCCAUUAUUGGUUUGACUCUAUUUAUAUUUUUUUUGACAUGCUCUUUCUAGCGUAGCUUAGCAUCUAAGGUGAUACCUAGGUACUUAGCAUUGUUGUGGUGUGGUAUAAGAAUGUUAUUUAUAUAAAUUGGACAAUAUGCCGGCUUUUUCAAGGUAAAGUCGACAUGAAUUGAUUUGGUGUCGUUUAAUUUAAUGCGCCACUUAGAUGCCCACUUAGUAAUUGCGUUGACUGCUGUCUGCACUCGUCGACUAGAUACUGAAGUUGACUCUCCAGCUGCUAACAAAGCUGUGUCAUCCGCAAAUGUCGCUGUUAUAUAACUAGAAUCAGAUGGGGUCACUAGUAAAAAGCAAAUAAAGCAUUGGCUCCAACAUGCUUCCCUGGGCAACACCGGCCUCUAUCGGUUCUUCUAUCUUUUAAGUACAAAGCAAUUAUUUCACAAAAUUGUUUGAGUAGCAUGUAUUUCAAUUUGAGCAGUAGACCCGUAUGCCAAACUUUGUGAAAAGCCUGAGACUCGUCCAAAAAGGCCGCCGUACAAACGUAAUUUUCAACGAAAUUAACGAAUCGGUGUACCUGGUCAAUUGUUAGGUGGUGGUCACGGAAGCCAAAUUGAUGUGUUGGUAUUAGGUUUUUAUGAGCCAUUAUUGGUUUGACUCUAUUUAUGAGUACAUUCCCAAAGAUUUUAGAUAAGGCUGGCAGCAGCGAAAUCGGUCUAUAUGAUGUAAAAGUGUGUACUGGCUUACCCGGCUUGGGAAUCAUUAUGACUUCAGAUACUUUCCAAAGCGAUGGGACGUAUCUUAGGCAUAAAGCACUGUUUAUAAUGUUUACAAGUUUUUCUAUACAAUUCUUUGGUAAAUUGCGUAAUAUUUCUCCAGUUAUUAAAUUGUACCCAUGCACAGUGGAUCCGUCAGAGGUCAAAAAUCAAAAAAAUCAACCACACAUGAUUGAAACAAAAUGUAAACCAAUUGUCUCUUAAAUGUCCAAUCUUCUUUAAGCCAUACCGCAUUUUUCUGAAAACCUAACAGGACUUUCUAAAAAUAGCAUUGAAAGCGUGAACACGUGUUCAUUUUCGCAACGCAGCUGCGCGCAGAGUGAUUUUGUCAAAUUAAAAUCGAACUUCAAAGAGAUCAAAUGUUUGCUAGAGUGCUCGGAAAUAGAUUAUUUAAAAUGCAUUUUGAAGUUGAAGGUAUUAACUUUAAAUCGAGAUGUUAAUAAUUAACAUCCUUGUAAAGUAUUUUAUGAAAAACUAAUUUUAUCGAUAGUAUCUAUUUUGUGAACGUCUUUUUUAUGUUUAGUUCAUGUUUUAGUUGUGUUUCAAGAAAAUCCAGAAAUUGGUUUGUAUGUCAUUGUGUUUGUCUUACUUUUAAGGUUUUAAUGUGUUAAACUUAUCUGCAGAAAUGUGCAGAUAUUAGAGAUGAGCGAUAUUGCUAUUUUUAAAUCACUGUGAUUUUAUAUUGCUAUUGCGAUCGCAACUAAGCCGACGUUCAAACGGAGACCUUUUGUUGUUGUUGUUGUAGCGGCAAAUUCUGCCGAUUUGACAAUGUUUGGGCGAAUACAAGUCCGGGUCCCGUCCAGUUACGUACACCCGACUGUGGGAACGACUGAACCUUUUGUCGUUAUUGGCAGCAAAUUCUCUUUUGGUUCCUGUAACUCGAGUCAAGUUUUUACGCCUUUCUUUUCACUACAUUUUCGCAAAUGUUGGAGCGAUUUGGCUACCUGACUUCGGCUUAUUGCAUAGUUCAUUUAUAUGUUGGUAUGAUGGUUUCACACAUUUCUUAGAAGGAAUUACCAUUAGUGUGGUUGAUAAUUUGUUUGUUUAGAAUACCCGCUUUUAAUAUUUUCCAGACCAAAUAAUUAAGGCGAGUUUCCUAACCUUUGGGAAAAUAUUAAAAACCCGUAACUUUUUUAUUCCAUCAUUUUUUCUGAAAUUAAUUAGUUACAAUUCUUGUUUUCAUCACAACAAGCUUUCAAAUUUGGUUUUAACAAUAAGUAAAAUUAAAAAUUUUAUUAAAACAAAUUAAAAUAUUCCAUUUUGAUUAUAUUUCAUCUACCACUUCAAACAUCACACUUCACUUCUUUUCCUUGAUACAUUUCCUGCAGUUUCGAACUGCGAUCGCAAUUCACAGGUUCGAUCGCAAUCGCAGUUCAUAGAAGCGAACUGCUAUUUAUAAAAUGUGAUCGCAGUUGCGAUUUGCGAUUUUUCAAUCACAGUGAAAAAAUCACCGGUAGUGAAAUAUCGCUCAUCACUAGCAGAUGUCUGUAUAAUCGUAAAAAUACUAAGGUCGUUUAAGUUGUCCUUUUGUCUAUUGUGCUGUGUUGGUCUGCCUUCGUCUUUUGUAGCUGUGUUCUUCCCAUAAGUGUGUGUUUACACGCCUGUAUAUUUUUAAUAUAUGGUACACAGAACACGGAACCAAAGCAGAAAAACUGACGAAAUUGAUUUCAGUUGUGCAAGAGAAUAUUCAAAACAACGGCUACAUUACAGAGCUGAGCGAUCUGUCGAAAAAAGUUGAGAACAUCUGUAAAACAAUUUCAACUUUUUGGAAGAAUUAUAAACGGAAAAAAUCUUCAGUUCUUCAAUACCAAUCUGGUUGGCUGAAUAAAGAGCAAUCGAUUUUGUUAAAACGCACGCAGUGUAAAUCGCAGCAGAUGGAGGAAAGUACUCAUCGUGGCCGUCCUCAACUGGAUUUUGCUGACUCUUCAACGAGAACUAAUCGCGUUAGUGUCGAUUGGAGAGCUUUCGGAGGAAGCUGCAGAGUCCAAUAACAAGGAAAUAAAGAAAUGUAGACUUCAGCACAGUCGGAAAGUGUAACGUACUUUAACAAACACAGAUGUCAUUAAUGCACUAUUGUUGCGCUCAGAUCCCUUUAUAACAGGACAGAGACAACUUCCAAAAAAAGACAAGUCAACUUUGUUGACAUCUGUUUAUGAAUUACUAGAUGAUUCUAUAUAAUUUUUGUUUCCUUCAUUUUUCUUUUAUUGUUUUUUUAUAUUGGAUUUUUGAUGAUAUGUAUGUAUAUGUAAAACAACAUUUUUCUAAAAAUAUAACUGCAAUGUAGAUAAAAUAAAAUAAUUUCAAUUUUAUUAAAAAAAAA
Bactrocera dorsalis (oriental fruit fly) is the source of this 4429-nucleotide long non-coding RNA. RefSeq lists it as uncharacterized. The record is from RefSeq and is a predicted model, not a curated record. The transcript is spliced from 2 exons. NCBI's taxonomy places the organism in Eukaryota, Metazoa, Arthropoda, Insecta, Diptera, Tephritidae.